GGGCCGGUAGUUAAACCCGGUAUAACGCUCGCUUCGCAUGCGAGAGGCUACGGGUUCAAAUCCCGUCCGGUCCA
Molecule: transfer RNA, 74 nt
Filed under: Candidatus Aenigmatarchaeota archaeon
Lineage: Archaea; Nanobdellati; Candidatus Aenigmatarchaeota
Description: tRNA-Ala
Rfam family: tRNA
About the family: Transfer RNA (tRNA) molecules are approximately 80 nucleotides in length.
Source: RNAcentral